CAAUAGCGUAUCUUAAAGUUGCUGCAGUUAAAAAGCUCGUAGUUGGAUCUCGGGGCCGGGCUGACGGUCCGCUGAAAGGCGUGUACCGACUGACUCGGCCCCUGCCCUCGGCGCCCCCUCGAUGCUCUUGGUUGAGUGUCUUGCGGGGUUCGAAGCGUUUACUUUGAAAAAUUAGAGUGUUCAAAGCAGGCCCAGUUGCACGAAUACUGCAGCUAGGAAUAAUGGAAUAGGACUCCGGUUCUAUUUUGUGGGUUUUAAAUCAUGGACUGGGGCCAUGAUCGAGAGGGACGGCCGGGGGCAUUCGUAUUGCGCCGCUAGAGGUGAAAUUCUUGGACCGGCGCAAGACGGACGAAAGCGAAAGCAUUUGCCAAGAAUGUUUUCAUUAAUCAAGAACGAAAGUCGGAGGUUCGAAGACGAUUAGAUACCAU
This 428-nucleotide ribosomal RNA is filed under the name uncultured eukaryote. RNAcentral's name for it is "SSU rRNA". It matches the Rfam family "Eukaryotic small subunit ribosomal RNA", at positions 592 to 1018 of the family's 1831-position model. The record is from RNAcentral.